UACGUAGGGGGCGAGCGUUUGUCCGGAUUUAUUGGGCGUAAAGAGCUCGUAGGCGGUUUGGUAAGUCGGGUGUGAAAUCUCCACGCUCAACGUGGAGGGGCCACUCGAUACUGCCAUGACUCGAGUCCGGUAGAGGAGUGUGGAAUUCCCGGUGUAGCGGUGAAAUGCGCAGAUAGGCGGAGGAACACCCGUAGCGAAGGCGGCACUCUGGGCCGGAACUGACGCUGAGGAGCGAAGGCCAGGGGAGCAAACGGG
This 255-nucleotide ribosomal RNA is filed under the name uncultured bacterium. Its description in RNAcentral is "partial 16S ribosomal RNA". It matches the Rfam family "Bacterial small subunit ribosomal RNA", at positions 524 to 776 of the family's 1533-position model. The record is from RNAcentral.